GAUGAACGCUGGCGGCGUGCCUAAUACAUGCAAGUCGAGCGAACGGACGAGAAGCUUGCUUCUCUGAUGUUAGCGGCGGACGGGUGAGUAACACGUGGAUAACCUACCUAUAAGACUGGGAUAACUUCGGGAAACCGGAGCUAAUACCGGAUGAUAUUUUGAACCGCAUGGUUCAAAAGUGAAAGACGGUCUUGCUGUCACUUAUAGAUGGAUCCGCGCUGCAUUAGCUAGUUGGUAAGGUAACGGCUUACCAAGGCAACGAUGCAUAGCCGACCUGAGAGGGUGGUCGGCCACACUGGAACUGAGACACGGUCCAGACUCCUACGGGAGGCAGCAGUAGGGAAUCUUCCGCAAUGGGCGAAAGCCUGACGGGGCACCGCCGCGUGAGUGAUGAAGGUCUUCUGAUCGUAAAACUCUGUUAUUAGGGAAGAACAUAUGUGUAAGUAACUGUGCACAUCUUGACGGUACCUAAUCAGAAAGCCACGGCUAACUACGUG
RNAcentral lists this ribosomal RNA (497 nucleotides) under uncultured bacterium. RNAcentral's name for it is "partial 16S ribosomal RNA". It matches the Rfam family "Bacterial small subunit ribosomal RNA", at positions 28 to 507 of the family's 1533-position model. The record is from RNAcentral.